Molecule: long non-coding RNA, 415 nt
Organism: Dreissena polymorpha
Lineage: Eukaryota; Metazoa; Mollusca; Bivalvia; Myida; Dreissenidae
Exons: 3
Source: RefSeq, a predicted model, not a curated record
CCUAACAUGGGUCGUGUAGAAAUAGCUAUUGAAGGGUUAUACGGAACUGUUUGUGAUAAUCUGUUCGACUUUCCUACUGCAGAUAUCAUUUGUAAAUCGUAUAAUUCUAGCUUGCACGCGGCCGUUAUCAUCCCCGGGGCUAAGUUCGGCGAAGGAUCUGGCCCAGUUCACGUUGACAGACUGACUUGUCUUUAUGGAUACACCAAAAUUGAACAGUGCAAGUACUCGAAAAAUGGCCAGUGCAGUCACAGCCGAGAUGUGUCAGUGCUUUGUAGCGAAUGUGAACGUAACAGAACUCACUUGAUCUACACGGAUACAGGUCUAUUCGUUGACUGCAAGUAUAACCCCAGUUACGUUGUUUAUCUACCUGUGACAUGCAGGGAUCGUGAAUGGAACAUUACGGGAUCCUGUCUGA